RNAcentral lists this ribosomal RNA (405 nucleotides) under uncultured prokaryote. RNAcentral's name for it is "bacterial SSU rRNA". It matches the Rfam family "Bacterial small subunit ribosomal RNA", at positions 355 to 774 of the family's 1533-position model. The record is from RNAcentral.
UGGGGAAUUUUGGACAAUGGGGGAAACCCUGAUCCAGCAACGCUGCGUGGAGGACGAAGGUCUUCGGAUUGUAAACUCCUUUUGCGGGGGACGAAUAAAUUGACGGUACCCCGCGAAUAAGCCACGGCUAACUACGUGCCAGCAGCCGCGGUAAGACGUAGGUGGCGAGCGUUACUCGGAAUCACUAGGCGUAAAGCGCAUGCAGGCGGAUGUUUAAGUCUGUCGUGAAAUUUCCCGGCUCAACCGGGAACGGUCGACAGAAACUGGAUGUCUUGAGUGGGACAGAGGAAGCUGGAAUUCCCGGUGUAGCGGUGAAAUGCAUAGAUAUCGGGAGGAACACCAGUGGCGAAAGCGGGCUUCUGGGUCUCUACUGACGCUGAGAUGCGAAAGCUAGGGGAGCAAACA